UGAGGAAUAUUGGUCAAUGGCCGGAAGGCUGAACCAGCCAAGCCGCGUGAGGGAGGAAGGCGCAGAGCGUCGCAGACCUCUUUUGCCGGGGGACAAAAGGCCGGACUCGUCCGGUCCUGAGGGUACCCGGAGAAAAAGCAUCGGCUAACUCCGUGCCAGCAGCCGCGGUAAUACGGAGGAUGCGAGCGUUAUCCGGAUUCAUUGGGUUUAAAGGGUGCGCAGGCGGGCCUUUAAGCCGGCGGUGAAAUCGCGGGGCUCAACCCCGCCGAGCCGUCGGAACUGGGGGCCUUGAGUGCGGCGGAG
RNAcentral lists this ribosomal RNA (303 nucleotides) under uncultured bacterium. RNAcentral describes it as "bacterial SSU rRNA". It matches the Rfam family "Bacterial small subunit ribosomal RNA", at positions 355 to 656 of the family's 1533-position model. The record is from RNAcentral.